Long non-coding RNA from Larimichthys crocea (large yellow croaker), 586 nucleotides. RefSeq lists it as uncharacterized. Lineage: Eukaryota; Metazoa; Chordata; Actinopteri; Sciaenidae. The record is from RefSeq and is a predicted model, not a curated record. The transcript is spliced from 5 exons.
GCAGAGACCCACACUCGAGCUGUGGUCCAGGACAGUUCAUCAGUCGAAAUGGAACAGCGCUGUCGGACACGGUCUGCUCUAACUGCACUGAAGGAACAUUUUCAAACGGCACCUUAACUUCCUAUCAGCCACACACAAAAUGUGAAGCACUGGAACUGAUAAAACCAGGAAAUGUUUCAGCUGAUCCUGAAUAUGGAGAAAACAUUUCAAAAUGGACAAUUGUUUGUGUGUCCAUUUCGAUUGUUUUAGUAAUUAUAGUAGUAAUUAUAGUAGCUGCACUAUACUGCAUCAGAAGGAAGAACUCUGACCGCAGAGAAACUGGAACAGACGAGGAGCUGAGGACCAUCUCAAACGGGACACUGAACAGCACAACGACCAACGUCCACAUCGGUGAUGGUGACAGUCAUCACAACAUUGAGCACAAACAAACCAAUGGGCUGCUCAAUGGGCUGGUCAAUGGUACUGUCUAAAUAAUAAUAAUAAUAAUAGAUUUUAUUUAAAAGUGCUUUUCAGGGUACUCAAAGACACUUUACAGAGAAGAACAUUAAAUCAUCAAAACAGUAUAAGAUAGUGCACUAAAAACACA